UCCCUGGUGGAUUAGUGGCUAGAAUGUGGGGCUCUCACGUUUAUUGCCUGGGUUCGAUUCACGGUUAGGGAA
Molecule: non-coding RNA, 72 nt
Organism: Ameiurus melas (black bullhead)
Lineage: Eukaryota; Metazoa; Chordata; Actinopteri; Siluriformes; Ictaluridae
Source: the annotation of a GenBank genome assembly